Molecule: ribosomal RNA, 314 nt
Filed under: uncultured fungus
Lineage: Eukaryota; Fungi
Description: SSU rRNA
Rfam family: Eukaryotic small subunit ribosomal RNA
Source: RNAcentral
UCACCUACUAAAUAGCCCGGCUAGCUUUGGCUGGUCGCUGGCUUCUUAGAGGGACUAUCGGCUCAAGCCGAUGGAAGUUGGAGGCAAUAACAGGUCUGUGAUGCCCUUAGAUGUUCUGGGCGGCACGCGCGCUACACUGACGGAGCCAACGAGUUUUCUUCCUUAGCCGACAGGCUUGGGUAAUCUUGUUAAACUCCGUCGUGCUGGGGAUAGAGCAUUGCAAUUUUUGCUCUUCAACGAGGAAUGCCUAGUAAGCGCGAGUCAUCAGCUCGCGUUGAUUACGUCCCUGCCCUUUGUACACACCGCCCGUCGCU